Molecule: ribosomal RNA, 484 nt
Filed under: uncultured bacterium
Lineage: Bacteria
Description: partial 16S ribosomal RNA
Rfam family: Bacterial small subunit ribosomal RNA
Source: RNAcentral
AUUGAACGCUGGCGGCAGGCCUAACACAUGCAAGUCGAGCGGGUGAAGGGAGCUUGCUCCUGGAUUCAGCGGCGGACGGGUGAGUAAUGCCUAGGAAUCUGCCUGGUAGUGGGGGAUAACGUCCGGAAACGGGCGCUAAUACCGCAUACGUCCUGAGGGAGGAAGUGGGGGAUCUUCGGACCUCACGCUAUCAGAUGAGCCUAGGUCGGAUUAGCUAGUUGGUGGGGUAAAGGCCUACCAAGGCGACGAUCCGUAACUGGUCUGAGAGGAUGAUCAGUCACACUGGAACUGAGACACGGUCCAGACUCCUACGGGAGGCAGCAGUGGGGAAUAUUGGACAAUGGGCGAAAGCCUGAUCCAGCCAUGCCGCGUGUGUGAAGAAGGUCUUCGGAUUGUAAAGCACUUUAAGUUGGGAGGAAGGGCAGUAAGUUAAUACCUUGCUGUUUUGACGUUACCAACAGAAUAAGCACCGGCUAACUUCGUG